Uranotaenia lowii is the source of this 663-nucleotide long non-coding RNA. RefSeq lists it as uncharacterized. The record is from RefSeq and is a predicted model, not a curated record. The transcript has 4 exons. NCBI's taxonomy places the organism in Eukaryota, Metazoa, Arthropoda, Insecta, Diptera, Culicidae.
GAAAGACUUUCACCACCCACUCAAGAAGAGUCAAAUUUUGCUUAUAUCCUAUGUUAAUAAUUUAUUUAACUAUCUACCUACUUAAACAACUAUUGGAAAACUAAGUUAAACUAGUGCUAAAUGCAGUGAACAAACAAACCAGAGCCAAACCGUAGCACAUUAAUAGCACUAGCCAGUUUUUUAAGACCCUUCCGUGCUCAUCCGGCCUAGUGUAGAGCACAGAACUAUGCUAUACUAAACAGCAUAGUUCCAGUUAUUUCUUGCUAGCUCGGCCCUUCCAGCCUAGUUCAGAGAACUUAGCCUUAUCAAGCCGCGUCCGAGUAACAGGCCAAGUUCUGGUUAUCAGCCUUGGUCAACUUCGCAUAGAAUCGUUCCGGUUGUAGGGAAAUCGAUUCGAAAUACUGAUUUUGUUGAAGCUGCUUCGCUAUCAAGACCGGUGUCUUUUUCCCCUCCUCCCCAACAUUCAACUCGGAACAUCCGUUCAACGCUUCUGUAAGAUCAACUCGGACGCAGGAAUUCCUCAAACUUACUAUACUAGCCGACCGGAUACGGACAGAACAACCCAUUGGAUACAUGUUGUGCUCGUUUCAAUGAAAUAGUUAAUUACUUUGAUUUUAAUAUUUCUGACGCUGUGUUCAAAAGUAAGAUAAGGUAGUAUCUUAU